This is a small nuclear RNA of Nycticebus coucang (slow loris), 147 nucleotides long. RefSeq annotates it as U4 spliceosomal RNA. Lineage: Eukaryota; Metazoa; Chordata; Mammalia; Primates; Lorisidae. The record is from RefSeq and is a predicted model, not a curated record. The transcript has a single exon.
AGCUUUGCACAGUGGCAUUAUCGUAGCCAAUGAGGUUUAUCCAAGGCGCGAUUAUUGCUAAUUGAGAACUAGGACUAAAUGGAAAUUGUUGACUCUGACUUCUAAUUCCCCAGAAGCCCCAGUGACUUAGGGACUCUGGUAUCUCAG